This 682-nucleotide long non-coding RNA is filed under the name Carassius auratus (goldfish). Its description in RNAcentral is "lncRNA (ENSCARG00000003092.1)". The record is from RNAcentral. Lineage: Eukaryota; Metazoa; Chordata; Actinopteri; Cypriniformes; Cyprinidae.
ACCAAUUUAUGCAAAUUAUGUUUUUAAUUGUUUUUAAAGUAUAUAUUUCUAUUGGCCUUUGGAUCAGAUAAGUGUCCUGAAGAACCUGGAGAAAGGGCAAGUACUUGUGUUUUAAUACUCUUUGUGCAAACUUUAGUGCAUUGGAGAGGAUGCAGAGAGGUAGAAUACAUGCUGACUGGGAUGUAGAUUGCUUCAGUAUUCCCUAUUGUGCAGUGUGUCAGCUCUAAAAUGCUGUAUUUUGUAGGAUCCAUUUAACAAACAAAAGCCAGUUCCUGAAUGACAUCAUCCUGCAGGAAGUGACAUCAUUUUGAAGGGAAAACAACAGUAUGAAUAUCAUAAGUAAGGGGGCGUUUGACACCAGUGUAGGUGAAGAACUCUCCCUGCUGUGCUCCAUUUGGUGCCGUCCUUCACCUCGGCCACUGACCGGACGGCCAUCGACCCGCACAGCUCCUCACAGACGGCCAACAAAUGCUGCCACAAAUGGAUCUAAUUGGCACCUCUGCAUGCCCCGUCCAGAGGAGGGCAGAGAUCAGGAUCUUCUCCGAAGACUACUCCUCCUUCUUCCUCUCUCUAAGGAUUGUUCCCGAAGACUCCUCCAAGCCCCUACGGUGCGUGUGUGUGUGUUCACCUCCAUCUGCUUGUGUCUUUAAAUAAACAUUUACUUCAUCUGUUACUCCUCUGU